ACGAACGCUGGCGGCGUGCCUAAUACAUGCCAGUAGAACGCUGAAGAGAGGAGCUUACUCUUCUUGGAUGAGUUGCGAACGGGUGAGUAACGCGUAGGUAACCUGCCUUGUAGCGGGGGAUAACUAUUGGAAACGAUAGCUAAUACCGCGUAACAAUGGAUGACACAUGUCAUUUAUUUGAAAGGGGCAAUUGCUCCACUACAAGAUGGACCUGCGUUGUAUUAGCUAGUAGGUGAGGUAAUGGCUCACCUAGGCGACGAUACAUAGCCGACCUGAGAGGGUGAUCGGCCACACUGGGACUGAGACACGGCCCAGACUCCUACGGGAGGCAGCAGUAGGGAAUCUUCGGCAAUGGGGGCAACCCUGACCGAGCAACGCCGCGUGAGUGAAGAAGGUUUUCGGAUCGUAAAGCUCUGUUGUAAGUCAAGAACGGGUGUGAGAGUGGAAAGUUCACACUGUGACGGUAGCUUACCAGAAAGGGACGGCUAACUACGUG
Molecule: ribosomal RNA, 496 nt
Filed under: uncultured bacterium
Lineage: Bacteria
Description: partial 16S ribosomal RNA
Rfam family: Bacterial small subunit ribosomal RNA
Source: RNAcentral